Long non-coding RNA from Lolium rigidum, 1407 nucleotides. RefSeq lists it as uncharacterized. NCBI's taxonomy places the organism in Eukaryota, Viridiplantae, Streptophyta, Magnoliopsida, Poales, Poaceae. The transcript has 3 exons. The record is from RefSeq and is a predicted model, not a curated record.
UCGAUGGUUGCUUUUAUCUGAAUGUCCACUCUUCCAUUUCUAGGCACACACUAUUGGUAAUUGGUAUAUUGGCAGGUGUCUCGCCUGUUGCCACUAAUUGAUGUUUACUGUCGCCCAACGUUGAAGAGGAUCUGCGAAUGACCAAUGCAAGAUAGCGAUGGUAUCUCUUUGAAGUGAUAAUGUUGAUCGGCUAAAAGAAGUUAGUGCCAAAGGGUCCUGGUUGCUUUUGGUAUAGGAAUUCCCACGUACAGAAAACAAGAUUGUGGUUCUAAGCCUCUCAGGAAGCUAGCGGCCCCAUGUCUGCACACAUAUAUUUCGGAGAUAACGUUGUGUGACUUGCAGGUAAUCUAUGGCUUGGUAUGCCAACUGGGAAGCCAUGUGUAUGUGCUUUAGCUAAUAAUCUAUAGCUAUGAUGUGGCGUAUAUGCUGCACUUAUUGGUCCUGUUGAUAUUAUUGGUGAGAAAAAGACUCUGAUGUGAAUCAGAUGAAGCUGAGAUGAACACUGUAGCUGAGUUGUCUGUUAUGUAUCUACACGUUGCCUUGGUGAGUAGUUUCUGUUUACCUGAUGGUUACCAAUAAAUAGAAGUUUGCAUUGUGUUUCACAGUGUAAAUUGUUCAAUUGCAAAAUUAAGAUCGGUAGCUUGCAGCUCAACUAGAACUGGUAUAUUUUUCAUAUAAUGGAUGUACCUGAAAGUCGGUUCGAGAAGGUGCUGUUUAUAAGUAUUCCAAGGAAGCAUGUUCAAACAAAACCAUGAAAAAAGUUCAGUAUAACCUUCUCAAAUUGAAAUCUACCUGCUACCCUGUUACUAUCAGUGUACUUCAUAGGAUUCUACAAAAUAAAUACCUAAGACAUAAGACUUUAUCUGAUGUGCAGGCUAAGCCUACUGAUUCUCCCUUUUGGAAAGGGUUGAUGGAGGUUAAGGAGAAUUUCUUUUCUAGGGUUUUUUUUAAAGUGGGUAAUGGAAUGAAUACCAGCUUCUGAGAAGAUAUGUGGUUAGGAAAAACUCCUUUAGCACAUCAGUAUCCAUCCCUAUAUAAUAGUGUGCAUCACAAGAAUGUAACAGUAGCCCAUGUAUUAGCUCAAACCACACUCAAUAUUUCUUUUCGUAGAGUGUUGAGUGGUAAUAAGUGGUCCUCAUGGGUAAACUUAUGUCGCAAAUUGAUGAGGGUAAACUUGAGUGAAGAUAAUGAUCGGUUUGUUUGGGAUUUGACAUCCACAGGACUCUUUACGGUUAAGUCUAUAUAUGAAGAUCUUAUGAAUGAUCAUACUCCUUUUUUGCGAAAGUACUUCUGGAAGGUUAAGGUUCCUCUUAAGAUAAAAAAAAUUCAUGUGGUUCUUGAGUAAUAAGGUUUUAUUAACUAAAGAUAAUUUAGCCAAACGACACUGGAAUGGGUGUACGAAAUGUG